GCCACCUUAGCUCAGUUGGCAGAGCGGCUCACUCGUAAUGAGCAGGUCGCCGGUUCGAGCCCGGCAGGUGGCUCCA
RNAcentral lists this transfer RNA (76 nucleotides) under Collibacillus ludicampi. RNAcentral's name for it is "tRNA-Thr". It matches the Rfam family "tRNA". Rfam says of the family: Transfer RNA (tRNA) molecules are approximately 80 nucleotides in length. Their secondary structure includes four short double-helical elements and three loops (D, anti-codon, and T loops). Further hydrogen bonds mediate the characteristic L-shaped molecular structure. tRNAs have two regions of fundamental functional importance: the anti-codon, which is responsible for specific mRNA codon recognition, and the 3' end, to which the tRNAs corresponding amino acid is attached (by aminoacyl-tRNA synthetases). tRNAs cope with the degeneracy of the genetic code in two manners: having more than one tRNA (with a specific anti-codon) for a particular amino acid; and 'wobble' base-pairing, i.e. permitting non-standard base-pairing at the 3rd anti-codon position. The record is from RNAcentral. Lineage: Bacteria; Bacillati; Bacillota; Bacilli; Caryophanales; Alicyclobacillaceae.